This 837-nucleotide long non-coding RNA is filed under the name Phoenix dactylifera (date palm). RNAcentral's name for it is "long non-coding RNA (PDAC_LNC008578)". Lineage: Eukaryota; Viridiplantae; Streptophyta; Magnoliopsida; Arecales; Arecaceae. The record is from RNAcentral.
UGGUAGAGAUAGAAGGUAAAACACUCCUAAUUUAUUUGAUUCCCAAUACCAUACCGAGCAGAAUAUGAAGAGCAAAUACACUCACCCCUUUGAGUAAUCAGAUAAUUUACUCUUUUAAAUUCGAGGACGAAUUUUAUAUAAGGGGGGGAGGAUGUAAUAACCCCAAAAUAUUUUUUUUAUAUAAAAAAAGAUAGAAUAGUUCUUUAAAAUUGAUAUGAGGGGUAAAAUUGGAAGGAAUGAAAAGAUAAUGGCAUAGUUGUAGAUGCGUUGAAGUGGUAAGGGUAAAAUUGGAAAGGAAUCAAAAGUUAAUGGCAUAACAGUAGAUAUGUUGAAGUGUUAGGGGCAAAAUGAGAAUUUAAUAAUAUUAAAAAAAGGGUGAAUAGUAUCUUGAUGUGAUUUAAUUGGAGGGUUUGAGCUGGCUCACGGGAGUGAAACAGAGAGGAGAGGGGGAGGGUUCUCAGACGGCAACAGAGAGGAAGAAAAAGAAGGAGAGGAAAGGAAAGGAAGAAAGGAAGAGGAAGAAGAAGAAGAAAAAGAAAAGGAAGGAGAUCCCGGUUGCGCUGCCAGCUGAAGGAAAAAGUGUAGAUCUCCUUCCCCUCUACGCAAGGACCUCGAUUUCCAAAAAGAAAAAGGUAAAUAUCCAUCAUUAUCUAGUCUUUUGAUGAUAUUAGGCUAUACAAAGGGUGGAUGUAGUCUAGAGGGGUCGGAUAAGGGUUGUAGAGGUGGUUAAAAGAGGAAGAAUCGGAUUUCGACAAAUUUUUCCGGCACUACGGAAAAACUGUGUCGAAGUUCCAACUUCGGCGAAUUAUUUCGGGGGUCAAACGGCCUCCGAUAGUG